UCUUCACGAUCUCCACCACCGAAUCUUUCAUCCACUGAUCCAGUUUCUCAUAUAAAACCGCAGCCUUAUCACCACCGUCGUUGAUCUUAUUCUUACGCUUUACCACUGCCAUCCCCGUCUCUGUCCCUGCCUUCAUUGCCACCGAACAAAUCCUCCAUUGUUUCAUUCUAGAACAAGCAUCGAGCGCGACGGAGCUAGCACCAACAAGACAAUUCUGAUUGGUAGGAGGAGUUUUUCCUGGCAAGAGAGAAUUAUUGAAAUGCGGGUUUCCUCGACAACAAAUGGCCGUCGAUGCCAUCUAGUUACGAUGGCAGCAGAAACGGAAAGAGAAUCGGAAAUCGGAAAACGGAAAACACAGAAAAUAACGUAGAAGAGAGUGUGGAGAUUGAAUAGGGAAACAGAGGAUUUUUAAUUAUGGACGAUCAAGAUUGGCAUAUUAGUACUUAAUUAUUCGCAUAUGCAUAUAUACAAAACACGG
Molecule: unclassified non-coding RNA, 478 nt
Filed under: Hevea brasiliensis (rubber tree)
Lineage: Eukaryota; Viridiplantae; Streptophyta; Magnoliopsida; Malpighiales; Euphorbiaceae
Source: RNAcentral